RNAcentral lists this ribosomal RNA (446 nucleotides) under uncultured bacterium. Its description in RNAcentral is "partial 16S ribosomal RNA". It matches the Rfam family "Bacterial small subunit ribosomal RNA", at positions 338 to 795 of the family's 1533-position model. The record is from RNAcentral.
CCUACGGGUGGCUGCAGUCGAGAAUCAUUCACAAUGGGGGAAACCCUGAUGGUGCGACGCCGCGUGGGGGAAUGAAGGUCUUCGGAUUGUAAACCCCUGUCAUGUGGGAGCAAAUUAAAAAGAUAGUACCACACGCGGAAGAGCCGGCUAACUCUGUGCCAGCAGCCGCGGUACUACAGCGGUCUCAAGCGUUGUUCGGAAUCACUGGGCGUAAAGCGUGCGUAGGCUGUUUCGUAAGUCGUGUGUGAAAGGGGCGGGCUCAACCCGAGGACGGCACAUGAUACUGCGAGACUAGAGUAAUGGAGGGGGAACCGGAAUUCUCGGUGUAGCAGUGAAAUGCGUAGAUAUCGAGAGGAACACUCGUGGCGAAGGCGGGUUCCUGGACAGUAACUGACGCUGAGGCACGAAGGCCAGGGGAGCGAAAGGGAUUAGAUACCCGAGUAGUC